UUUUUAGUAUAAGUACGUUCCAUGUAAUAUUUGGGACAUACUUUUACUAAAA
This is a microRNA precursor of Loxodonta africana (African savanna elephant), 52 nucleotides long. It matches the Rfam family "mir-1302 microRNA precursor family". NCBI's taxonomy places the organism in Eukaryota, Metazoa, Chordata, Mammalia, Proboscidea, Elephantidae. The record is from Rfam.